This is a long non-coding RNA of Bubalus bubalis (water buffalo), 1013 nucleotides long. RefSeq lists it as uncharacterized. NCBI's taxonomy places the organism in Eukaryota, Metazoa, Chordata, Mammalia, Artiodactyla, Bovidae. The record is from RefSeq and is a predicted model, not a curated record. The transcript is spliced from 2 exons.
CCAGCAGUGAAGGGGGCCCCCGGAACCAGGGCUGGGUCCUGGCCACAGGCUCAGGAAGGGGGCUGAUGGGUGUGAAGGCUGUGAGCUGAGCUCAGCUCUCUGCAGCAGCGGAUUUGUUUUAAAGUCACAACUUUCCGAAAACCUUUCACCUUAUGUUAGCUUCCUCUGAAGUGCUUAUCUGAAAAGUUCUGGCUUGUGCACAAAAUAUUGAGCUGUGCUGCAUCCUGUUUGACUCCUGGGAUGGGUUUUGAAGUAAUCAGCCUUUGAAUUUCAAGGAGCCCUUAAUCUUCUUUGACCCACAUGGAGCCACAGAUUAGCCUGUGAAAAAUCGUCCAUCCAGUGUCUACAAAUGGACUUCAAAUGAAGGCUCCUGAGAGCAAGAUAUUAGUUAGGAGUCCAAAGACUUUAAUGAUGGAGGAAGGAGAGCAACAGCAACUCUCACCCCAAAGGAGAGCAAAAUACACACGUCAGCUUGAACUCCAGAAAAACACUGAUACUUCUGUCCCUUUGGAGUUGACAUUUGGAGGAUCAAAUCAAUCCUUUGUGUUCCCUCGCACCCCAGAAACCUCCCGAUGUUCUAGGCCCCUGUGAAGUUCUCCUCUUCCAGGGCCUUCCUCAUCUGCUCAGCCUCCAGGAGCCCCCUCUCAGACACUCCAGGUAUCUUUGCUACCUCGGGCCCUCCUCUUGUAAGCUGCAGCUCUUAGGGAAUUCACAACCUCUCUGACACACGGGUUCUGUAAGGUAUGGAUGGAUGGUGUUCGCCUAGGCCCUGCCGUCUCUUCCUAAACACCAGCAAUGAGUACUGAAUGUACAGGGGGAGAAAGCCCUCGGCGAGCUAUAAGUGGUAAAGCUCACAUGUGCUGCUUCUCUAUACUUCUAGCAAAGGGUGUCCAAUCCUCCUCUUAUGCCUGGACCGGACACAGCAUUGGUGACCUUAGACUCUUGCCCAGAGUAGGUGCUCACCCAAGAUUUGGGGGGUGACCAGGGUGGCAAUUUCUGGAAUCAGGCCUGGU